This 586-nucleotide long non-coding RNA is filed under the name Vulpes vulpes (red fox). RNAcentral describes it as "lncRNA (ENSVVUG00000030300.1)". The record is from RNAcentral. Lineage: Eukaryota; Metazoa; Chordata; Mammalia; Carnivora; Canidae.
GCUGUGAGGGCUCCAGAGAGGCCAAGGCAAGGGAGACUGAGGAGAAGCAAAACCAGAAAACUUCCUUUGCUGCCUUUAUGGAUGGUAAAGUGUAAAGUAGCUCAGUCAGCAAACCCACAGGAGCACCCUGAAACAAGAGAAUACAAGAAAGUUUUGCAUAGUGAUGGUCGGUUUUGACUCAAGAGCUAUAUAGAUGCUUAUAGAAGAAAAGUUAUUCCAAGGACAAAGGAAAAAGAAAACAAAAAAAGGUCAAUGACUUGAAGCAACUGGGUAGACGAACAUGAGGGACAUACUUUUGGGUAAAAUGUGUUCCACUGCGUAGUCUAACAUUUGGCCAGACUUUGGUGACAUAUUCAAAGAUGUGGAUGAAGAACUGGAAGCUUCAAACAAACAGAACAGCAAAAUAAAACUUUUGAAAUGUAAAGUAGGGAGAAGUAGAGUCUGCUUAGAUGUUUCUUCAAAUAGUGUUCCUCUCUUGGUUAACCCGGGCAGGCACCAACACUUAAUCCCAUAAUAAAUGGUGAUUUAUCUUUAGAUUGGCUUUUGGCCUUUAUUCCAAUAAAGAUCUUUCUUAGUCCCUUAUACA